GGGAAAAUCACUGCUUCCAUAACCUAUCAAAAUUCACCUAAUUCCAUUUUACUAUUUUAGCUUAUUUCAUCUCUGGCUAAGCAAUCCACCAUCGUGCAAAAAAUUAUUUGUAGUUCCUAAGUUGUCUUAAGCCUUGACUAAAAAUUUAAAAGAUAAAUAAUCCAACCGUUCAUAUUUUCCUUUGCCUCUACUUCCAAGCAAGUGACACUACUAGAUUCAACUUAUGCAUAAUUCCCAACUUAACUAAACAAUUCCCCCACCACAAUAGAUAAACUGUUCAAAACAACAGAGAAAACCGUCACAAUUUUAGAAUAAAGAAAAAUAAAAGGUCCCCA
Molecule: unclassified non-coding RNA, 335 nt
Filed under: Hevea brasiliensis (rubber tree)
Lineage: Eukaryota; Viridiplantae; Streptophyta; Magnoliopsida; Malpighiales; Euphorbiaceae
Source: RNAcentral